CAGGACGAACGCUGGCGGCGUGCCUAAUACAUGCAAGUAGAACGCUGAAGGAGGAGCUUGCUUCUCUGGAUGAGUUGCGAACGGGUGAGUAACGCGUAGGUAACCUGCCUGGUAGCGGGGGAUAACUAUUGGAAACGAUAGCUAAUACCGCAUAAUAUUGACUAUUGCAUGAUAGUCAAUUAAAAGGUGCAAUUGCAUCACUACCAGAUGGACCUGCGUUGUAUUAGCUAGUUGGUGAGGUAACGGCUCACCAAGGCGACGAUACAUAGCCGACCUGAGAGGGUGAUCGGCCGCACUGGGACUGAGACACGGCCCAGACUCCUACGGGAGGCAGCAGUAGGGAAUCUUCGGCAAUGGACGGAAGUCUGACCGAGCAACGCCGCGUGAGUGAAGAAGGUUUUCGGAUCGUAAAGCUCUGUUGUAAGAGAAGAACGAGUGUGAGAGUGGAAAGUUCACACNGNGACGG
This 466-nucleotide ribosomal RNA is filed under the name uncultured bacterium. RNAcentral's name for it is "bacterial SSU rRNA". It matches the Rfam family "Bacterial small subunit ribosomal RNA", at positions 25 to 475 of the family's 1533-position model. The record is from RNAcentral.